This 468-nucleotide ribosomal RNA is filed under the name uncultured bacterium. Its description in RNAcentral is "partial 16S ribosomal RNA". It matches the Rfam family "Bacterial small subunit ribosomal RNA", at positions 28 to 507 of the family's 1533-position model. The record is from RNAcentral.
GACGAACGCUGGCGGCGUGCUUAACACAUGCAAGUCGAACGGAAAGGCCCUGCUUUUGUGGGGUGCUCGAGUGGCGAACGGGUGAGUAACACGUGAGUAACCUGCCCUUGACUUUGGGAUAACUUCAGGAAACUGGGGCUAAUACCGGAUAGGAGCUCCUGCUGCAUGGUGGGGGUUGGAAAGUUUCGGCGGUUGGGGAUGGACUCGCGGCUUAUCAGCUUGUUGGUGUGGUAGUGGCUUACCAAGGCUUUGACGGGUAGCCGGCCUGAGAGGGUGACCGGCCACAUUGGGACUGAGAUACGGCCCAGACGCCUACGGGAGGCAGCAGGGGGGAAUAUUGCACAAUGGGCGGAAGCCUGAUGCAGCAACGCCGCGUGCGGGAUGACGGCCUUCGGGUUGUAAACCGAUUUCGCCUGUGACGAAGAGUGAGUGACGGUAAUGGGUAAAGAAGCACCGGCUAACUACGUG